RNAcentral lists this ribosomal RNA (370 nucleotides) under uncultured organism. RNAcentral describes it as "bacterial SSU rRNA". It matches the Rfam family "Bacterial small subunit ribosomal RNA", at positions 528 to 896 of the family's 1533-position model. The record is from RNAcentral.
GGGGGGGCAAGCGUUGUUCGGAAUUACUGGGCGUAAAGGGCUCGUAGGUGGCCAACUAAGUCAGACGUGAAAUCCCUCGGCUUAACCGGGGAACUGCGUCUGAUACUGGAUGGCUGGAGUAUGGGAGAGGGAUGCGGAAUUCCAGGUGUAGCGGUGAAAUGCGUAGAUAUCUGGAGGAACACCGGUGGCGAAGGCGGCAUCCUGGACCAUUACUGACGCUGAGGAGCGAAAGCCAGGGGAGCAAACGGGAUUAGAUACCCCGGUAGUCCUGGCCCUAAACGAUGAAUGCUUGGUGUGGCGGGUAUCGAUCCCUGCCGUGCCGAAGCUAACGCAUUAAGCAUUCCGCCUGGGGAGUACGGUCGCAAGGCUG